Molecule: ribosomal RNA, 600 nt
Filed under: uncultured actinomycete
Lineage: Bacteria; Bacillati; Actinomycetota; Actinomycetes; Actinomycetales
Description: bacterial SSU rRNA
Rfam family: Bacterial small subunit ribosomal RNA
Source: RNAcentral
GUGGGGUAACGGCCUACCAAGGCAUCGACGGGUAGCUGGUCUGAGAGGACGAUCAGCCACACUGGGACUGAGACACGGCCCAGACUCCUACGGGAGGCAGCAGUGGGGAAUAUUGCGCAAUGGGCGAAAGCCUGACGCAGCAACGCCGCGUGGGGGAUGAAGGCUUUCGGGUUGUAAACCCCUUUCAGUGAUGACGAAAAUGACGGUAAUCACAGAAGAAGCCCCGGCCAACUACGUGCCAGCAGCCGCGGUAACACGUAGGGGGCGAGCGUUGUCCGGAUUUAUUGGGCGUAAAGAGCUCGUAGGCGGUUGCGAAAGUCGGAUGUGAAAACUCAGGGCUCAACCCUGAGAUGCCAUUCGAUACUGCGCUGACUAGAGUCCGGUAGAGGAGCAUGGAAUUCCUGGUGUAGCGGUGAAAUGCGCAGAUAUCAGGAGGAACACCAGUAGCGAAGGCGGUGCUCUGGGCCGGUACUGACGCUGAGGAGCGAAAGCAUGGGUAGCAAACAGGAUUAGAUACCCUGGUAGUCCAUGCCGUAAACGUUGGGCACUAGGUGUGGGACCUACUUAACGGGUUCCGUGCCGUAGCUAACGCAUUAAGUG